AAGAAAAAGAAUUGUAAGAUUAAGAGAGAGUAAAGAGGAGCCAAAUUAACAUCUGAUCUUCUUAUGGCUGCAAGAUUAGCCCUCCAACGUGUCCUGAAAGAUAUUGUUUCAAGUCUUCCUUCACCAGCCCAUUCCUGCAGUGUCUUGAGUUCAUCAGCUGCCCAUGCUCCCCAAGGCAUCCUGUGCCUUCCUCUAUCAUAAUCAGCGUCUCCUGACUGUAUGGUUCCCUCCAACACUGGACUGAGUUUCGUGACAACAGGACUGAUUUUCAUCAAGGUGCUGGGAAUUCAGCAACAAGACAUUCGGCUUGGCCAGGAAAUCACCAUUAAGACAGACUCGGACUACGCUGACUGCUCUGCAGUGCUUUGCAGUGAUAACUCUCGGAGGCCUCUUUUCUUGCUUUCUGGGACAGUACACUCUCCGGGCCACUCUCAUCCCCUCUUAGUUUUAAUCCUAAAUUGCCUCUGAUGAAAGUAUCAACAAGCAGUGAAAGGCUGGAAGGCAAGAAGCAUAAGGAAGAAAGUAAAACAAGAGAUAAGAAUAAUCUGCUGGCCUGUGGAGAAUCAAAUGCUAACUGAAAUAAUCAGACUUACAUGUGUGAGUACAGCCCACAAGUCAUCAUCAAACCUCAUUUUGUAGAUGAAGAAAUGUAGGGUGAAAUUUUUAUGCAACCUAUGGCACAAGUUCUAAGACCAGAUAAGCUGGCCAUUCACGCUACAACCAUAAAGGAAAGGCUGACACCAUCUUUCCAACUUGCACAACCUUUGCUUAAACACGUGGUGGAGUAUUACUCUAAAUAAGUCAGCAAAAGUCAUAUGAAGAGAUAGAGAGCUGUGACUAUUCCCAAAUUGGAAUGAUGUGCCAUCAGUCUGGUUUUUACCUUCUAAUACUUCCUUCAGAGGUACAGAUACCAAUAAAAACGAUCAAGAACUGGAAAUCAUGGUAAAUGACUGGUUUCAUUACUUAACCAUGUUUAUAGUAUCUACAGAGAACAUCAAAAGCAAUCUUCUA
This is a long non-coding RNA of Mustela erminea (ermine), 1011 nucleotides long. RefSeq lists it as uncharacterized. The record is from RefSeq and is a predicted model, not a curated record. The transcript is spliced from 5 exons. NCBI's taxonomy places the organism in Eukaryota, Metazoa, Chordata, Mammalia, Carnivora, Mustelidae.